UUCGACGCGUUGAAAGAGGAAUAGUAGGUAUUAACUCCGAGUAUUAGAGAGUUGACGGCAGGUGCAAGUCAAUCCGGAGUGAUCUGAACUCGCCUCCCAGCACUUUCCCCCAAGACCGAGUACAAUCGGUUGCGUAAGGGAUAGCGAAUCAUCCCCGUUACGGAUGGAAACAAGUGGGUGAAUGAUCAUUGUUCACCAAUCUGGGUGGUACCGCGGGAGUAAACACAACCUCUCGUCCCUUUU
RNAcentral lists this non-coding RNA (243 nucleotides) under Brevibacillus choshinensis. RNAcentral's name for it is "T-box sequence". It matches the Rfam family "T-box leader". From Rfam's summary of the family: Uncharged tRNA acts as the effector for transcription antitermination of genes in the T-box leader family. T-boxes are found upstream of many aminoacyl-tRNA synthetase genes and some amino acid biosynthetic genes usually in Gram-positive bacteria. The record is from RNAcentral. Lineage: Bacteria; Bacillati; Bacillota; Bacilli; Caryophanales; Paenibacillaceae.